RNAcentral lists this transfer RNA (83 nucleotides) under Streptomyces phage Endor2. RNAcentral describes it as "tRNA-Arg". The record is from RNAcentral. Lineage: Duplodnaviria; Heunggongvirae; Uroviricota; Caudoviricetes. RNAcentral also lists the same sequence under 1 other name.
CACCUGCUGGGACGGGUACAAGACCACCUCCUGAGUGGUCAGCGUGAGCGGCACACACCCCGGUUCGAGUCCGGGGCACGCAC